GAUGAACGCUGGCGGUGUGCCUAAUACAUGCAAGUCGAGCGAACAGACGAGGAGCUUACUCCUCUGACGUUAGCGGCGGACGGGUGAGUAACACGUGGAUAGCCUACCUAUAAGACUGGGAUAACUUCGGGAAACCGGAGCUAAUACCGGAUAACAUGUUGAACCGCAUGGUUCAACAGUGAAAGACGGUCUUGCUGUCACUUAUAGAUGGAUCCGCGUCGCAUUAGCUAGUUGGUAAGGUAACGGCUUACCAGGGCAACGAUGCGUAGCCGACCUGAGAGGGUGAUCGGCCACACUGGAACUGAGACACGGUCCAGACUCCUACGGGAGGCAGCAGUAGGGAAUCUUCCGCAAUGGGCGAAAGCCUGACGGAGCAACGCCGCGUGAGUGAAGAAGGUCUUCGGAUCGUAAAACUCUGUUAUUAGGGAAGAACAAAUGUGUAAGUAACUAUGCACGUCUUGACGGUACCUAAUCAGAAAGCCACGGCUAACUACGUG
RNAcentral lists this ribosomal RNA (497 nucleotides) under uncultured bacterium. Its description in RNAcentral is "partial 16S ribosomal RNA". It matches the Rfam family "Bacterial small subunit ribosomal RNA", at positions 28 to 507 of the family's 1533-position model. The record is from RNAcentral.